This 459-nucleotide ribosomal RNA is filed under the name uncultured bacterium. Its description in RNAcentral is "partial 16S ribosomal RNA". It matches the Rfam family "Bacterial small subunit ribosomal RNA", at positions 338 to 795 of the family's 1533-position model. The record is from RNAcentral.
CCUACGGGAGGCAGCAGUGAGGAAUAUUGGUCAAUGGGCGCGAGCCUGAACCAGCCAAGUAGCGUGAAGGAUGACUGCCCUACGGGUUGUAAACUUCUUUUAUAAAGGAAUAAAGUGAGGCACGUGUGCCUUUUUGUAUGUACUUUAUGAAUAAGGAUCGGCUAACUCCGUGCCAGCAGCCGAGGUAAUACGGUGGAUCCGAGCGUUAGCCGGAUUGAUUGGGUUUAAGGGGAGCGUAGAUGGGUUGUUAAGUCGGUUGUGAAAGUUUGCGGCUCAACCGUAAAAUUGCAUUUGAUAAUGGCAGCCUUGGGUACAGUUGGGGUAGGCGGAAUUCGUGGUGUAGCGUGAAAUGCUUAGAUAUCACGAAGAACUCCGAUUGCGAAGGCAGCUUACUAAACUGCCACUGACAUUGAUGCUCGAAAGUGUGGGUAUCAAACAGGAUUAGAUACCCCAGUAGUC